RNAcentral lists this RNase P RNA (345 nucleotides) under human gut metagenome. RNAcentral describes it as "Bacterial RNase P class A". It matches the Rfam family "Bacterial RNase P class A". Rfam says of the family: Ribonuclease P (RNase P) is a ubiquitous endoribonuclease, found in archaea, bacteria and eukarya as well as chloroplasts and mitochondria. Its best characterised activity is the generation of mature 5'-ends of tRNAs by cleaving the 5'-leader elements of precursor-tRNAs. Cellular RNase Ps are ribonucleoproteins. RNAcentral also lists the same sequence under 1 other name. The record is from RNAcentral.
CAGGAUGGUUUGUCGCUUGUUUUCAUGCAAGAGGAAAGUCCGGGCAACACAGAGCGCCAUGCUUCUUAACGGGAAGUUAUCUGCGAAGGUAAGGUAGUGUGACAGAAAAUAACCGCCUCAUUCAUGGUGAGGUAAGGGUGAAAAGGCGAGGUAAGAGCUCACCGGCUUUUAUGGCAACAUAAGAGUGGUACGCCCCAUGGGUUGCAAGGUCAUGUAUACCGACAGUAAAGGGUGGCUCGUCCGAUGUCGGGGGGUAGACCGCUAGAACUUUGCGGUGACGCAAAGUCGAGAUAAAUGACAAACGCCUGAAAUAAGGAACAGAACCCGGCUUAUAAUCCUGCUGUU